AACAGAUAUGGGUGGCGAGUGGCGGACGGGUGCGUAAAGUAGGAAUCUUCCCUAGAGUGGGGGGUAACCCGGGGAAACCCGGGCUAAUACCGCAUAAUCUCCACGGAGCAAAGCCGGGGUCGUAAGACCUGGCGCUCUAGAUGAGCCUACGUCGGAUUAGCUAGUUGGUGAGGUAAAGGCUUACCAAGGUAACGAUCCGUAGCUGGUCUGAGAGGACGACCAGCCACACUGGGACUGAGACACGGCCCAGACUCCUACGGGAGGCAGCAGUGGGGAAUUUUGGACAAUGGGGGCAACCCUGAUCCAGCAAUGCCGCGUGUGUGAAGAAGGCCUUCGGGUUGUAAAGCACUUUUAGUGGGGAAGAAAGGCUCAAGGCUAAUACCUUUGAGCGUUGACGUUGUCCACAGAAAAAGCACCGGCUAACUCUGUGCCAGCAGCCCGCGGGUAAAUACAGGAGGGGUGCUAGCGUUAAUCGGAAUUAACUGGGGCGUUAAAAGGCGCAUGGUAGGCGGGGCAUUUUAAGUCGGGGUGUGAAAAGGCCCCCCGGGGCUCCAACCUGGGGAAUUUGGCAUUUCCGAAUACUUGGAAUGGUCUUAAGGU
This 600-nucleotide ribosomal RNA is filed under the name uncultured bacterium. RNAcentral describes it as "bacterial SSU rRNA". It matches the Rfam family "Bacterial small subunit ribosomal RNA", at positions 77 to 697 of the family's 1533-position model. The record is from RNAcentral.